Long non-coding RNA from Canis lupus familiaris (dog), 1111 nucleotides. RefSeq lists it as uncharacterized. NCBI's taxonomy places the organism in Eukaryota, Metazoa, Chordata, Mammalia, Carnivora, Canidae. The record is from RefSeq and is a predicted model, not a curated record. The transcript has 2 exons.
GUUGGCUGCUGGCAGCACUUUGCAGGCUGCGUGGCCCGCAGGAGGGGUGUGGGCCCCGUUACCCCCCCAGUCCUGGCCGCCCUCUGCGAACUCAGUGCAACUAACUCCCUCACUUUUCUGGGGUUUUCCUCCCCGCCCUUGAUUUAGUGGAGGGCGAGGCUUGGAUCUUAGGGUGGGAAAGACUUCAUACAAUUUGCACUUGAAAAGAGGAAGUGAGAAAAAAGAAAAAGAAACACAAAGAGAGGCCCAGCCAGCUGUUUCCUACAGACGGAGGACCACCCCGCAGCUGUUCGCUGCCCUCCCGCCCCUGGGAACCGGCUCCCACCUCAGCCCCGGCCCAUCCGGACAGGGUCACCCGGCCGCUGUCCCUUCUCUUCCAAGGCGAAGAAGGUGACACUCGGACAUGUGUCCACGGCAUCAUGACUCCAGGGCCUGUCCUCUCCACCAAGGAUGUCAGACCGUCUUCCCGGGCGCCACGUGCUUGUCAAAAACAGAUUCCCCGGGUGGCCUGGGCUGGCCUGGUGCAGGAGCCGGAGUAGAGCCCCAGCAGGUGUCCCCUCGCUGCCCCCCCCCCCUUGCCUCCCAGUCCCAGCUCUGAGGAACCUGUCCCUCCCGGGGUCCUUGGAACACUCUGUUCUCGCCGCCUCCACGGCAGGAAACACACUGUGCGAAAAUCAGCUGAUGUUACGUCUGUGUCGCUGGGGAAUUACUGGAUUUCCAGGAUCCUGUCCCGCUUUUUCACUUCCUCUCGGAUGGCUUCUUCCACCGAUCUUUCCACAGCUUGGAAACAUCUGCUCUGUGGGCCUCCACUUACAAGUUCCCUCCUCAGAGAAACCUUUUCUGAUGACCUUCAGAAUUAAUUAAGAAGGCCGUCACUCACUCACCAUCAAACUACUCAAUUGCAUCAUCUAGCACCAAGCACGGAGCUUCCCACACGUAGGUCCUCAACUGGGACUUAAUUAUCCAGAGGCAGAUGAAGCACAUUCUUGGGGCACCAGAAAAACAGACAUACCAAACAUUUUUUUAAACAUGUUGACAUGCGCUUAUAUUCGUAUACUAUAGAAGUCAUAUGAAAAUAAAAUUAGGAUCUUGCUGGCCUCCGUUCCACUUA